This 844-nucleotide long non-coding RNA is filed under the name Ananas comosus (pineapple). Its description in RNAcentral is "long non-coding RNA (ACOM_LNC008830)". The record is from RNAcentral. Lineage: Eukaryota; Viridiplantae; Streptophyta; Magnoliopsida; Poales; Bromeliaceae.
CGUUCGGUAACUUUUCUAUUAUAUUGAUACUAUUCCACCAUCUUUUUGUGGGUGUGCUUUCAGCAUUAGGUCACCUCGGGCAUAAUUGUUCAAAUUAUGAUGAAAAUUACUGGUAAAAAGUUGUCUUGCUACACUGUUCUUGAGCCUUACUGUUUUUUCUGACCAUUUUCUUCUUGCUUUGAGCGUAUGCUAAAUUUUCGGAUUUUUGCUUUUACUGCUUAAUUUUUCUAUCCUUUCUCCCUGCGUUUUUAGCUCCUAUUAACUCUCUUUUUUUUAUUGUAUAUAUUAUUUUCUUCCAAAUAGACUUGGUAUUUUCGAACUUUGUAUUUUUUUUGAACUUGGGUAGUUUAUCAGUUUCAUUGAAAAAAAGGUUUCCUUUUCCCCUUGCUUACUUCCUGGAUGUUUAACCCUUUGGAAAAGAACUUAUGUGCUCCCUCCUUUUGCAGCUCGCGCGAUGAUGGCUAUUCACCUUUCUUACGCUAGGCUAUUGCGUGAAGUUUAUGAACAGCUCCAGCUCUAAGUACCACAGUGUGUAAUAAGUGUGGACUCAAGAGGGAAAGUUUGUGGGCUAUAUAGAUUUACAAAUUCCCCAGAGCAAAACUGUAGUCGAAACGGUUCAAUGUGCAAUUGCCCAAUUUCCUACGUCUGCUAGGGCUGAGCAAGAUGCCGCACGCAUUGCUCUUAAGAGACUAAAAGAUGAAUGUGAUUUGCAUAUCAAAGAUAUUAAUUAUGAUGACUCUGCAUUCUACAAAAAUUUAUAUGACCACCAAAUUACUGGUUAUGCAAUACUAUUUGCACAAUAUAGUAAUCUUUCGCGUGAAUAUAAUUUUUUGAAGGAAUGUUA